AUGGAGCCGUCAGCUAAGGAAGAUACGCAGCCGAAGCCGCGGCUCAUCGUUCGGCUUGGCAUAUUCCUCGCUUCUCACCACAUACUCUUCAGCGCCUUGUGCUGUUCCGCGGGCAUUAUCGCACUCCUCUUCCUCCCAUCACUUGCAAAAAACACAUACCUCUCGGAGAACGCUCUUAUACCUGGCUCUGCAAAUCCAUUGUUCUCCAGCGAGGAUGUCACGGAAGCUAACAAGUUUAUCAAAGGAAUUGAAGCUGCAGCUGGGGGAUCAAGAGGAGGAAUGGAAAUGCCAAAAUUCAUAGUGCAACAAAUGAAAGAUCUGGGUGCAGAAGUGUGUUACCAUGAAUUCCUCCCUCAUAGCAAGCAUUUUCAUCCUCUGAAGUUCUUCACUUCCAUGACAAACGAUUUGGCGGUUCGACCCAAUGGCACCUAUUCCAACUCUGGAACUAAUACAAUUGGCAUUAUACGAGCUCCUAGGGGUGAUGGAAAAGAAGCUAUAGUAUUGGUUACUCCUUACAAUCCUCAGAGAGUUCAGGCAAAUGAAGUAUUAUCUCUCGCACUUGGUUUCUCUGUCUUCUCCCUCUUAAGUCGAGCUGCAUGGCUGUCAAAGGAUAUUGUGUGGUUAUCUGCCGACUCGCAAUUUGGGGAGUACACCUCAGUCUCUGCAUGGUUAAAUCAGUACCAUAACCCUAUGUUUGUGGGUGGUGUUAAACAUGAACCUGAUGGUAUUGCAGAAAAGGCUGAAUUUACGGAUUUCAAACGUGCUGGAACGAUGGCUGCUGCUCUCAUAUUUAAAGUUGGGGAAACUAGGAACUACGGUGAUAGAGAUAGUGUUACAAUGUACGCGGAGGCAUCUAAUGGCCAAAUGCCAAACUUGGACCUUCUGAAUGUGGUGCACUAUCUAGCUGUUCAUAGACAAGGUUUUCGUGUGAACAUUGAGACAAUUAGUUCGUUGUUGAGUUCUGCAUGGCUUAGGGCUAUUGCUGAAGUGAUUCAUACUCUUGGGAGUAUAUUGAGAAAAAUAAAUCCUGACUGGAAGCUUGAUAUUUCAGCCCCUGAUUAUGUGGAGGGGACUGCCAACCUUGCUAGCUCUAUUUAUAAUCAGCAGGCUCUUGGAGUGCCCACCGGAUCUCAUGGCGCGUUCCGUGACUAUCAAGUUGAUGCCGUUUCUUUAGAAUUUUCACCAACAUUUUAUAUCAGAAAUGAGAAUGCCAAAUCAUCAUUUCUUGUAAGGGGUGGAAGGUUACUUGAAGGGGUGGUACGUUCUGUGAAUAACCUGCUCGAGAAGUUCCAUCAAUCAUUUUUCCUAUAUUUCCUCACAGCUCCGAGCAAGUUUAUUUCAGUUGGUGUCUAUAUGAUUCCUUUUGCACUGCUUGUGGUUCCCCUCCCAAUAGUUGCUGCUGCUCUUGCCGAUGGCGGUAGAAAAAUGGGAAAAUCAAUCGAGGCCAGUAAAUCAAAGGGCAGUGCUGAUAAUCUGCAAACCGAGGGUGGAUCAUGGAAAUGGCUUCAAGCUGCAAGAGUUCUGCUUGUUAUCCAACUUUGGGCAGUGAUUGUUUCAUUACUACCGUACUACAUCAGUCAAAUUCCCGAUGGUACACCAAUACAAAGUUCAGUGAUCUGGGUGGUGCUUGCCAUUUUGACGUUGAUCGUCCUAUAUGCCAUGUUUGGUUCACCAUACUCUGCUGGUGUUGAAUGGAAACUUCUGAAGGCCACGAUGAUCACUUCAAUCUCAAUAGGGCUGGGGCUUAUGUCGAUAAUAAAUUUCGCUACUGCUCAGCUUGGGGCGUUGAUUGUGAUCCCAAUGUGCCUGUUUUCUCGGCCGCUGAAAGCACAGCUUGAUAUGAGCUUCCUUCCACGGACAGUAUUGUGUGCUUCAAAUAUACUUCUUGCCGUCUUUGGUUUCCCUCCAGCUGCAUUGUUGAUUAUGAAAGGGCUGUCCAAGGGGUCCUGGACGGUAGACCUUGGAGAUUUCUGGGCGUCAAUGGAGUUCUUGUGGGAAUGGAGUAGCGCCACGUAUCUGUAUCUGUUUCUUGUCCAUCUUCCCUGCUGGCUUCUAUGCAUCCAUGUCUUGCUACAUCCAUGUCGCCAAGUGGGAUCAAAGGUUAAGCGGGAGUAG
RNAcentral lists this ribosomal RNA (2115 nucleotides) under Triticum aestivum (bread wheat). Its description in RNAcentral is "partial small subunit ribosomal RNA". Lineage: Eukaryota; Viridiplantae; Streptophyta; Magnoliopsida; Poales; Poaceae. The record is from RNAcentral.